This 394-nucleotide ribosomal RNA is filed under the name uncultured bacterium. RNAcentral describes it as "partial 16S ribosomal RNA". It matches the Rfam family "Bacterial small subunit ribosomal RNA", at positions 523 to 918 of the family's 1533-position model. The record is from RNAcentral.
AUACGUAGGGGGCAAGCGCUAUCCGGAAUUCUUGGGCGUAAAGCGUGCGUAGGUGGUUACCUAAGCGCAAGGUUUAAUCUUGAGGCUCAACCUCAUUCUGCCUUGCGAACUGGGCUACUUGAGUGCUGGAGGGGAAAGCGGAAUUCCUAGUGAAGAGGUGAAAUGCGUAGAUAUUAGGAAGAACACCGGUGGCGAAGGCGGCUUUCUGGACAGUAACUGACACUGAGGCACGAAAGCGUGGGGAGCAAACAGGAUUAGAUACCCUGGUAGUCCACGCCGUAAACGAUGAGCACUAGUUGUUGGGUCCGAAUGGAUUCAGUGACGCAGUUAACGCAAUAAGUGCUCCGCCUGGGGAGUACGGUGGCAACACUAAAACUCAAAUGAAUUGACGGGG